This 595-nucleotide ribosomal RNA is filed under the name uncultured sordariomyceta. Its description in RNAcentral is "eukaryotic LSU rRNA". The stretch from base 233 to 386 matches the Rfam family "5.8S ribosomal RNA". Lineage: Eukaryota; Fungi; Ascomycota. The record is from RNAcentral.
CUUGGUCAUUUAGAGGAAGUAAAAGUCGUAACAAGGUUUCCGUAGGUGAACCUGCGGAAGGAUCAUUAAAGAACGCCCCGUUUUUUGAAAUGGGUAAUUCCCAAACCGUGUCUAUAUAUACCUUUGUUGCUUUGGCAGGUCGCCUUCUAGGCGUCGGCUCCGGCUGACUGCGCCUGCCAGAGGACCCAAACUCGUUUUGUUUAGUGUCGUCUGAGUACUAUAUAAUAGUUAAAACUUUCAACAACGGAUCUCUUGGUUCUGGCAUCGAUGAAGAACGCAGCGAAAUGCGAUAAGUAAUGUGAAUUGCAGAAUUCAGUGAAUCAUCGAAUCUUUGAACGCACAUUGCGCCCCUUGGUAUUCCGAGGGGCAUGCCUGUUCGAGCGUCAUUAUAACCACUCAAGCCUCGGCUUGGUAUUGGGGUUCGCGGUUUCGCGGCCCUUAAAAUCAGUGGCGGUGCCGUCUGGCUCUAGGCGUAGUAAUACUCCUCGCUAUAGACGUUCGGUGGUGUCCUGCCAGCAACCCCCCCAUUUUCAAAGGUUGACCUCGGAUCAGGUAGGGAUACCCGCUGAACUUAAGCAUAUCAAUAAGCGGAGGA